RNAcentral lists this non-coding RNA (150 nucleotides) under Triticum aestivum (bread wheat). RNAcentral describes it as "Bacterial large subunit ribosomal RNA". It matches the Rfam family "Bacterial large subunit ribosomal RNA", at positions 1801 to 1947 of the family's 2925-position model. The record is from Rfam by way of RNAcentral. Lineage: Eukaryota; Viridiplantae; Streptophyta; Magnoliopsida; Poales; Poaceae.
UGUUCACCAAAAACACAUUCUCCACAAAGUCGUAAGACCAUGUGUGGGGGCUGAUGUCUGCCUAGUGCCGGAAGGUCAAGGAAGUUGGUGAACUGAUGACGGCGAAGCCGGCGACCGAAGCCCCGGUGAACAGUGGCAGGAUGAAUUUCG